Molecule: transfer RNA, 76 nt
Filed under: Xiphosiphonia pinnulata
Lineage: Eukaryota; Rhodophyta; Florideophyceae; Ceramiales; Rhodomelaceae
Description: tRNA-Asn
Rfam family: tRNA
About the family: Transfer RNA (tRNA) molecules are approximately 80 nucleotides in length. Their secondary structure includes four short double-helical elements and three loops (D, anti-codon, and T loops).
Source: RNAcentral
UUCCUCAGUAGCUCAGUGGUAGAGCGAUCGGCUGUUAACCGAUUGGUCGUAGGUUCAAAUCCUUCCUGGGGAGUCC